GCUGAUUUUAGAUAGAGAUCCGAGAAGAGAGAGAAAUAAGAGACAAGAAGAAGGAGAAGAGGAGAGGGAACAGAACUUGAGAAACUAAGUUACUGCGAGUAAAAGUUUGGCUAGGUUUCCAAGAUGUGUGGGCAACGCUUGAGAAAGGCUUUAAAGAGCCUUUGGAAGGAGUAACAUUGACUUUGGUCCAAAAGAAGGUCGUGCAAAAGACACGAAGGAAGGAUCAAUAAGCACUCACUAUCAUCCGCCAAUUUCUGGAUGAUGCUACUUUUGAGAUAGUGGCGAACGCAACCAUCGCCAAUCAAGCAUGAGAAAUUUUGCAACAUUCAAACCAAGGAGCUGAUAAAGUAAAAAAGUAUGUCUACAAAAACUACAUGGUGACUUUGAAAAGUUACAUAUGCUUGAAUCCAAGAAUAUUUCAGAAUACUUUGUCAAAUUAUUAGCCAUAUACAAUCAAAUGAAGAGAUAUGGGGAGAAGAUGGAAGAGACGUGUAGUAGAAAAGAUUCUACGCUCACUGCAAAAGAAAUUCUAUUAUAUUGUAGUUGUGA
Long non-coding RNA from Populus trichocarpa (black cottonwood), 549 nucleotides. RefSeq lists it as uncharacterized. Lineage: Eukaryota; Viridiplantae; Streptophyta; Magnoliopsida; Malpighiales; Salicaceae. The transcript is spliced from 2 exons. The record is from RefSeq and is a predicted model, not a curated record.